Long non-coding RNA from Pomacea canaliculata, 2050 nucleotides. RefSeq lists it as uncharacterized. The transcript is spliced from 4 exons. NCBI's taxonomy places the organism in Eukaryota, Metazoa, Mollusca, Gastropoda, Architaenioglossa, Ampullariidae. The record is from RefSeq and is a predicted model, not a curated record.
AUAGAUCAGACGACAGUGUGAACGCCGCUCUGGGAUUAUUCUGGAAACCACGAACUUGGAUUAAUGUGUCCGUGAUGAAACUAAGUGACCGUUUUCAGAAGUUCGAAACAAGAAACGCUGAGCAAACUAGAGGACUAGUAGGAUGAGACCUGUUGUAACAGUGAUUAUGAGGUGAAGGGGAUGAGAGUACCACUCAGCCACCCCUGCCUAUCUGCUGCACUGUCGACUGCUGGUGCAAAGUGAAGGCUUCCUUGUAAGGACUGAUGCCGCUGCGUGUGUCCUCCGCCAUUCGGGUGGGUGGAUGGGUGGACUUGAUUUGCUUACAGAAAGAGAGGUGCUUCAAUGGAAGCCAAGACAGCACCCAGGUGGCUGUGUGUGUAAGAGAAAGAGAGUGGAAGGUUCAAAGUGAGACGCCUAAAGGCUGUUUAGUGAAGUCCUACGUCACUGGCAAGCUGGCCUGUCAUUUUACCUGGAGACCCCGUCACAACACACUCGAAUCUUGAUCUUGUGCGGCCAGUUCUUGUUCUUACUGCAGCAAUGUCAGCUGAGCUGAGCCGCCUCGGGCCAGCUGCUUGGACUAGGUGAUAACCCACUGAUCACUAAAAGAAAGUUAAAGUUUUCUGUCAGGAAAUUUUGUAGCAGACAAACGUUUGUACAACGUAAAUUAUAUUCACCUGAGCCAGUUCCUUGUUUUCACAUGAGACAGUUCCUUAUUCUCAGAUUCUCUCCUUCAUCAAUCAACACUUACACUGAUCGUGUCUCUCUGACCUAUGACCUCUGCCGUGUGUGGAACUGCGGGUGAAGAAAUAUCUCAAGAUCUGCAUUUUGAAGUUUGUAUUGGCGUGAUAGCUUGUUACUAAAAAAGUUGACUGCCUGCAGGGUCAAACGUGUGAAAAGUGUGUCAUAAAUUAAAAACAUGAAUGUUCAAAAGAUUGGCAGCAACCAUAGUGCAGGAUAAUCCAGAUUUACUCAACUGUCUGUCUACUAACAAGAGGACGCUACAGCAAGCCUGCCAGAAUACUAACGACAGAAGAGGAAAGCCGAUAAAGGGAUCUUACUACUUUGUUCUACACCGACCAAAGUGUGGUUAGAAAAUAUAGUUUAAACCUGGAUAUUUGUCAGAAAAUCAAUGGAAGCAAGAUACCUGCUUGUGGUUCGAUUCUCAGCACUGCUGUUGCUGUCGGCGUUUGUGUGCUACAUAGUAGGCUUUGCACUCCCUGGUGGCUCAAGGGUCGGCACAUUGAGAUCACCGCUGGCUUGUGGCAAAACUGCAUCGGAUCGCAUUGUGCCUCGACGCUGAAUGGUGAAACAGGCGACUGGCUGUCAGCGUGCCAGGCUUUGACCAUAUCAGCACUGCUGACGUCACUGAUGGCGCUGGGCGUGUCGGCCAUCAUGGUGCGGGCAUCACGGGAGAAUACGCUGUCCGCAGCCAGAUACGGUACCAUUGCCACCAGCCUGUUUACAGGAGCAUCGAUAGUGACUUCUCUAGUUCUCUACUACGUUUGCAGUGAGGAGAAGUAUCCUCGAGAGUUCUACGGUCUAUCUUUGUCCUUUAUUUUGGUUGCUGUUGGCGGAGGCGUGUUUCUGUGUGUUGCCUCUCGUGCUGGGCAUUGACGCUGUGACCUCAAAACUACGUCACGUAAACGCCACGUCGUCGUGACCUCCGCCACUGGUUAGGGAUCGUGACCAGCGAAAUGUGUCUGUGACACUUUCUGCACUCUCUGAAAAAACAAACAGAAAGCCAACUCCAGCCAUUGUAACUGGCUGUCACCCUCGAUAUCCAUAUUGUUGUAUCUCUCCAGUCUAAGUAGAAGAAAGAAAGAAUUUAUAUGUCUGUUAAUCAUCAUCAUCAACAGCAACAACAACCUUGUCUUUAUCAUUUUCUCAUGUCUUGAAUGUUUUCUUGAUAUUUCACUGAUAGCAUCCUGAAGAAAGAUUUAUAUGUUAUAUCACUUUCACUGAGCUCUGUGUGUGCACGUGUGCGCGUGUGUGUGUGUGUUACUUAAUAUUGUUGAAGAUAUGAAUGUGAGUCAAAAGUCUGGAAUCAUCA